UGCCUAAUAAUUGUAACUCUUAAUUGUGCCAAUAAUAGUAGACAUAUUUGUUUUGGCUUCAGGGAAUUGAAGGAGCCUGACAUUUUCAAGAAUCUGUAUGUAUAUUCUGCAAUGCGACAUUAAGAUAUAAAACCUGUUUUGGAAAGGCUGCAGUAUAGAGGAAAACACUAUAUAAUCCUGGAGCUUGUUGGACUCAAUCCAAAGAAUUUUGGGUGCAAUGACCGAAUGUAAAACUUGUUGAUUGUGGGAAAGAAUCAACUUAUUGCUGAUCCAGCACAGACAUCUUAGUUGGUUUUAUUAACUAAUGUCAAGCAUGACAAUAUUCUAUUUUCAAAUCAGAUUCUUGGACUUCUCUGGCUUCAGCCACUGGAAACUCUGAUUCUAAUAUUUGUGAAAAUAAAAUUCUGGUCAUAUGGCCAAAAGUGAACAGUACAUAGCCAAAGUGAAACAUUAUUUUGUAGUCACUUUUAGUUUGUCUAUUAUACUGUGUUUCUUUAUUGCCCUAGAGAAAAUUAAAUUGGUCAAUUCAGUGGAGAAAAAUCAUCAACACGAAGGUUUGAAAUGACCAGUUGUUUAACUAGAAAAAUGGAAAAGUCUCAAUUUGUAGACACAGUCUAAAUGUGGAAAAAUCAUUAAACACUAAAACUCGAGGCAAACUUUACAAGUUCUGUUUCUAAAUUAAAAUCACAAUUAAUAUUAUAAGUCAU
RNAcentral lists this long non-coding RNA (707 nucleotides) under Homo sapiens (human). Its description in RNAcentral is "HSALNT0009426". The record is from RNAcentral. Lineage: Eukaryota; Metazoa; Chordata; Mammalia; Primates; Hominidae.